CAGAGAGAAAAAAUGCACGGCAUUCAGGUCUGGACUGGGAAGUCUCAGUCUACUUGCGUGAAGGCAGUGGUGGAUGGGAUGUAGCUGUGGGUUAUACCGACUGAAAAAGGCAUUAAAAUGAUGAGAAUGCAAUUUAAACUUAGAUUCUGCUGCCAGAUAGUUUUAUGUCUGUCGUUUGGACAGAUUUUUUACGUGGACGUGGCUGCACUCAUAUACGUCACCCCUCGGAGCAGCACAUCAGUCGGUGAUGCAAACUUCAUAUAUGAGUUCUUGCUCGGAGGGGUUGAGAUUGACCAGGACAACAACUUUGUCUUGCUUGAUAGAGAGAUGGCGUCCAUGAGGCAGGGUCGGGCUUUUCUGGCUCAAAUCAACGACAAUAUCCCCAAAACCCUGCCCUCAGUGGAGGCCAUGCUGAGCACACUUAAGGGUCCGAGGCAUACGUCCAACUCUCGGGUCCAGUUUGACAGCCUCGUCCUGACUAUAGUGUACUCAGCACAUUUAGCAAAGACCCUCGAAAGAGAAGAGGACCAACUCGCCUGGGCUGGGAUACUUCAACGACUGGCAAAUGUCACCGUUCAGGAACUGCGGGGCAAUCAAUCAUCCUUUUAACAUGACGAUAUUUAGCAUCACUUAUACGAAAGAUAGAAUUUUUAUUUUGUGCAAUUAUAACGUAUAGAACCUACACUUUUAAAACAAUGUAGGCCUAUGCUGUAUAAAUAAUUAUCACUUGACCCUUGCAGAGUCGACACAUGACCUAUAUUACAGUUUUUCUCAGUCGCUUUGGUACAUUUCUCAGAUCAGAAUUGAAAUUCUCGAAACUACCUGUUCAAUCUUCACAUCAUUGUGUCGUUUGUGCAAAUCAAAAAAGCAGUUUCUCAUUUCUUUGAACAAGUUGCAAAUGCUUUGCUACAUUCAUGCAAAUGAUUAUGUACAAUUCUCUGCUCUUUCUUAAUUAUCAAUUGCUUAUGUCAUGUUGAUCAAAAUGUAUUGUAAUGGGUCUCUAUUGAAUAGUCUCACCCCCACAACAUUUAGGCAUUAGUUCAUUGCAUAAGUCUUUACAUGCAAAAUGGUUGAACAAGUUGUCAUAUGUCAAGCAUAUUUCUAUACAUUUCCAUUAGACUUUUUUUCUAAAUCUGUCCUGAAUUGGUAAAUUGCUACCAGGUGAAUCUAGACUUUCUCUAAAGAAGGGAAAUGUGUGAAGUGUUAGAUCAACCAGUUUACUGGAAUAGCUCAAAGGUGCAUCUCCUGAACCAUGAACUGGCAAGUAUAUAUAGCUGGAGCACAACACAAUGUUACAUUGUCUGAGAAUUUGUGGCCCAACAGACAGGAACGUCAGGAGGUGUAGGAUGACUGCACUGUAAUUCCUACAGCAAUGCAUGUAGGAAGGAGAUGCAUCCCUAAGGAGAUUUUCCUAUGUUCACAUUUCUAGCAAUGACAUGGUCUGUCAACAAAUACAGUGCAAACAGUCAAAGCGUAAAUGUGAAUCUUGUCCAGUCUCUUGCAAUCAAUCUCCCACAUACACUAAGGUGUAACUUAGAAUUUACAAUAAUUGUCUUCAAAACUUUAGCCAUGGUUUACAUCAGAACAUCCCUCCAGAGUACACUGUUAUAUUGACAACAUGCCGAAGCAAUUUGACUGUCUUAUCCGUCCACAAUGACUUGUCAUUUUGAUGGCACUCACAUGUUAAUUGACACAGAUAUUUACUUUUGAGAAACAAACUAAGGAUUUUGAGCAAGAGACUUGCUUUUGCAUGAAAUCCAUGGUGCUUUGCUAUUUGUACGAAUUAUUUUGAGAAAUGCACUUACUGUUUUGCAAAUUUCAAUUCUGAUCUAAGAAAUGUACCAAAGCGACUGAGAAAAACUGUAAUUCAGUUGUUUGCAAUUAGCAACCUCGCUACUAGAUACCACUUAAUGCUACACACUGCAACUUUUAACAUGCUUUCUAAACAUAAAAUAAUAAUCAAAUCAUCAAAUAACCUUUUAUUUAACAACAGUACAAAAAACAUAAAAGUAUACAAUAGAAUUUGUUCGCCUGUAUAACCUUAGGCUUAAGUGAAUGGACAAAUCCCUGGAGAGUGCUACAACCUGAAUGAUCACAUGUACAAGAACAUCCGGUACCUUAUAUACAAAUAAACAACACCAAUCAGCAUCUUCCAUGGGUCCGUCUUUACUUCUU
This is a long non-coding RNA of Gadus chalcogrammus (walleye pollock), 2175 nucleotides long. RefSeq lists it as uncharacterized. The record is from RefSeq and is a predicted model, not a curated record. The transcript has 3 exons. Lineage: Eukaryota; Metazoa; Chordata; Actinopteri; Gadiformes; Gadidae.